GACGAACGCUGGCGGCGUGCCUAACACAUGCAAGUCGAGCGGGGUUGAAGCGAGAGGUAACUCGAACUUCUACCUAGCGGCGGACGGGUGAGUAACGCGUGGGCAACCUGCCUCAAGGUCUGGGAUAACAGCCCGAAAGGGCUGCUAAUACCGGGUAUGCUUGUGGCCUCGCAUGGGGCUACGAGCAAAGGGGAAACCCGCCUUGAGAUGGGCCCGCGUCCCAUCAGCUAGUUGGUGAGGUAACAGCUCACCAAGGCGACGACGGGUAGCCGGCCUGAGAGGGUGACCGGCCACACUGGGACUGAGACACGGCCCAGACUCCUACGGGGGGGCAGCAGUGGGGGAUCUUGCACAAUGGGCGAAAGCCUGAUGCAGCGACGCCGCGUGAGCGAAGAAGGCCUUCGGGUUGUAAAGCUCUGUCUGGAGGGACGGAAGGAAGUGACGGUACCUCCGGAGGAAGGCCACGGCUAACUACGUGCCAGCAGCCGCCGGUAAUCAUACUCGUA
RNAcentral lists this ribosomal RNA (506 nucleotides) under uncultured bacterium. Its description in RNAcentral is "bacterial SSU rRNA". It matches the Rfam family "Bacterial small subunit ribosomal RNA", at positions 28 to 529 of the family's 1533-position model. The record is from RNAcentral.